Arvicanthis niloticus (Nile rat) is the source of this 5191-nucleotide RNA transcript. It is a transcript of the gene named component of inhibitor of nuclear factor kappa B kinase complex, with no coding region annotated. NCBI's taxonomy places the organism in Eukaryota, Metazoa, Chordata, Mammalia, Rodentia, Muridae. The record is from RefSeq and is a predicted model, not a curated record.
GACGUAGUCUCGCGAGACGAAGGACUCACAAACCUGGCGGCCCGGAACCGGCCUUGGACCGGUGGCAGUGCCUGAGGCGGCUGGCGCUCCCGCUCCAUGGAGCGGCCCCCGGGGCUGCGGCCAGGCGCCGGCGGCCCCUGGGAGAUGCGGGAGCGGCUUGGAACCGGCGGCUUUGGGAACGUCAGUCUGUACCAGCACCGGGAACUUGAUCUCAAAAUAGCAAUUAAGUCUUGUCGCUUAGAGCUAAGUACCAAAAACAGAGAGCGAUGGUGCCAUGAAAUCCAGAUCAUGAAAAAGUUGAACCAUGCAAAUGUUGUAAAGGCCUGUGAUGUUCCUGAGGAAUUGAAUUUUUUAAUUAAUGAUGUGCCUCUUCUAGCAAUGGAGUACUGUUCUGGUGGGGACCUCCGGAAGCUACUCAACAAACCAGAAAAUUGUUGUGGACUUAAAGAAAGCCAGAUACUUUCUUUACUGAGUGACAUAGGAUCUGGGAUUCGAUAUUUGCAUGAAAACAAAAUUAUACAUCGAGAUCUAAAACCUGAAAAUAUAGUUCUUCAAGAUGUUGGUGGGAAGAUAAUACAUAAAAUAAUUGAUUUGGGUUAUGCCAAAGAUGUUGAUCAAGGAAGUCUCUGUACAUCUUUUGUGGGAACAUUACAGUAUUUGGCCCCAGAGCUCUUUGAAAAUAAGCCAUACACAGCCACUGUGGAUUAUUGGAGCUUUGGGACUAUGGUGUUUGAAUGUAUUGCUGGAUAUAGGCCUUUUUUGCAUCAUCUACAGCCAUUUACCUGGCAUGAGAAGAUUAAGAAGAAAGAUCCAAAGUGUAUAUUUGCAUGUGAAGAGAUGACCGGAGAAGUUCGGUUUAGUAGCCACUUACCUCAGCCAAACAGCCUCUGUAGUUUAAUAGUAGAGCCAAUGGAAAGCUGGCUACAGUUGAUGCUGAAUUGGGACCCACAGCAGAGAGGGGGACCUAUUGAUGUUACUUUGAAGCAGCCAAGAUGUUUUGUAUUAAUGGAUCACAUUCUCAAUUUAAAGAUAGUACACAUCCUAAAUAUGACUUCUGCAAAAAUCAUUUCUUUUCUGUUACCAUGUGAUGAAAGUCUUCAUUCACUACAGUCUCGAAUUGAGCGUGAAACAGGAAUAAAUACUGGUUCUCAAGAACUUCUGUCAGAGACAGGAAUUUCUCUGGAUCCUCGGAAACCAGCCUCUCAGUGUGUUCUAGAUGGAGUUAGAGGCUGUGAUAGCUACAUGGUUUAUUUGUUUGAUAAAAGUAAGACUGUAUAUGAAGGACCAUUUGCAUCCAGAAGUUUAUCUGAUUGUGUAAAUUAUAUUGUACAAGACAGCAAGAUACAGCUACCGAUUAUACAGCUGCGCAAAGUGUGGGCUGAAGCAGUGCACUAUGUAUCUGGGCUGAAAGAAGACUACAGCAGGCUCUUUCAAGGACAAAGAGCAGCAAUGUUAAGUCUUCUUAGAUAUAAUGCUAACUUGACAAAAAUGAAGAAUACUUUGAUCUCAGCAUCACAGCAACUCAAAGCUAAAUUGGAGUUUUUUCGCAAAAGCAUUCAGCUUGACUUGGAGAGAUACAGUGAGCAGAUGACUUAUGGGAUAUCUUCAGAAAAAAUGCUGAAAGCAUGGAAAGAAAUGGAAGAAAAGGCUAUUCACUAUUCUGAGGUUGGUGUCAUUGGAUACCUUGAGGAUCAAAUUAUGUCUCUGCACACUGAAAUCAUGGAGCUGCAGAAGAGCCCCUAUGGAAGACGCCAGGGAGACUUGAUGGAAUCUCUGGAACAGCGUGCCAUUGAUCUCUAUAAGCAGCUAAAGCACAGACCUACUGAUCACUCAUACAGUGACAGCACAGAGAUGGUGAAGAUCAUUGUGCACACCGUGCAGAGUCAGGACCGUGUUCUCAAGGAGCUGUUUGGUCACCUGAGCAAGUUGUUGGGCUGCAAGCAGAAGAUUAUUGAUCUACUCCCCAAGGUGGAAGUUGCCCUCAGUAACAUCAAAGAAGCUGACAAUACUGUCAUGUUUAUGCAGGGAAAGAGGCAGAAAGAAAUUUGGCACCUCCUUAAAAUUGCCUGUACACAGAGUUCUGCCCGCUCUCUUGUAGGAUCCAGUCUAGAAGGCACAGUAACCCCUCCAGUAUCAACAUGGCUACCCCCCACAUUAGCAGACCGUGAACAUCCUCUGACAUGUGUGGUAACUCCUCAAGAUGGGUGGGUUUACUUUGUAACAAUAGGCAGUUGUGUUUUAGGGAAAGGGCAGGACAGGGCAGCAAGCAUGGUAGUUAACAGUGCCUUCAGACCAGGGCUCAGUUCUGACUAUCUCUUUAAUAGUGCUGAGUAAUGUUUUUUUCAGUGUUCAUAUAUUGUCACUUUAAAAUGAGAAUUACAGAAUUACUGUGAAAAUUCAGUUGAACAUUGUGUGUAAAUGCUUGGAAAUGAAUUUCAGUAAGUGUUACUAAUAAGUGUUGACUCAAUCCAAGCUCUAAGCCAUCUCUGUUCCCACAUAUCAAUUUCCUUUACCCAGACUGUACUCCUUCCUUAACCACUUAUCUCAGCAAGAAGUUAACACUUUUUUCAGUUUGUAUUUUUUAGUACUCAAGUUCUCUUUUAAUAUAGUAGUGAGGUCUAUUUCUUAAAUUUAAUUUUUUUAGUUCUUUAAAUUAUUUUGCAAAUAAGAACUCAGAUUUGCAGCCCUGCAUUUGGUCUUUAGUUCCUGCUCUUCUGCCAAAAGCUGGAUGACUGUCCAUCUGUUACCUUCUCAGCAUAAGUUGUGCCGUCUGUCUAUCUGUUAUCUUCUCAGCAUAAGGUGUGCCGUCUGUCCGUCUGUUACCUUCUCAGCAUAAGGUGUGCCGUCUGUCCAUCUGUUAUCUUCUCAGCAUAAGGUGUGCCGUCUGUCCGUCUGUUACCUUCUCAGCAUAAGGUGUGCCGUCUGUCCGUCUGUUACCUUCUCAGCAUAAGGUGUGCCGUGGUCAGGAGGCUCUUUGCUAGCUUGUGUACUGUCGCUUCUCUCACAACGCACGGAGCCUCCACAGCACCGAGCACUUCUUGGAAGUCUGCCCAUAACUGAGUUGCAGACAUGCACUCACGUUACAUGGCUGCCCAGGAGGUCACUCAGUGGCAUACUCUACUGCUUUUAUGAGAGAACAAGCACAUGGCAGGAAGGCAAGCUGAUCCCAGAGAGACGUUAGCACAAAUGAUAGAAGAAAAUCUGAACUGUCUUGGCCAUUUAAGUACUAUUAUUCGUGAAGCAAAUGUGGACCAGAGCAAUAGUAUGAUGAGUCUUGAUUGGAGUUGGUUAGCAGAAUGACUCGACAUUUGUUCACUGUCUUGAGCCUAUGAUGCUGUCCCAGCACUUCCUCUAAAGUCAUCUUUACUUGUGGAAACCAUUCUUCACAUACCAGUCCACGGAGGAGAGGGCUGUGAGCAGAAACUACGAAUGACUUUACGAGCACAGUAGCUUGCUGUUUUAUUUUAUUUUUUUGUAAAUAAUUGUGAUUUCUGAACAGAUAGGAUUUUAUAACAAAUUAGUGAAAUUAAUUAUUCUUUUCAACACUGCAACUAAUUAAGGAGAUCAUUAGUGACCUGCUUAUCUUAUAAAGUUGGAAAAAUACUACCAAUUUAGCUGAUUAAAAAGAUAACCUAAAGGUCUAAAUUUUAGGCAUAAGGCCCAACAUGGUAUUAGUAUACAGAGAUGAAAAUUUCACCCAGUGUUCAUUUUUUUUUAAUUAGAAGGUCUUAGAUAUAUAUUUAUCACUAGUCAAUGUGCAACAUCUAAAUAUUAUGAGACUAUACAGAUUGGUAAUUCCAUAGCAUAGCUCUAAUGAAGAUACAAAUCAAGUCUAUCUCUUAAGGCAUUGUUAACCUUGUCUUCUUUCUUAGAGGAAUGCCUUGCAAAAACAAAUCAGAUAACUCACAUUGAGGUACAUGGUUUUGUGAGAAUAUUAUAAUCAUAGCUACAAUUAAAGGACUGAUACUUUACACACUUCAUUUUCUUUAGUGCUUCCAGAACACAUUAGAAUUUCCUCAGAGACAUAUUUGUAUCAGCUUGCACGUGAAAAUUGCCUUUCAUGUCUUCUAGAACUUUGACAGUGUUCUUCAAUAUGACAAUGAUCUUCCCAGUUGUAGCCUAUAGCAGUGAGGUUCCAGUAGGUCUCCAACAUCACCUCUUUGUAGAGACUCUUCUGGGAAGGAUCCAGCAAAUUCCACUCUUCCCCAGUGAAGUUCACAUGCACAUCAUCAAAAGUCACUGCAUACAUGUCUCAAUUUCACCGCUUCCCUGAAGUCCCCUCACAGCACCCGACAGCAGAGCUCAGAGCAGGACACAGAGAACCAUUCAAGCCUGCACAGCUGCAGCGAACUUGCAGAAAGCCCAGUGUUCAUUUUAAGUAAAGCUUGUCUAUGGAGUUUCUGUGGAAGAGAAUGCUCACAAGUUAACUUGGGCUUUCUGAAGACUAAGCCUGCCUUCUUGUGUUGCUCUCAGCAAGUGCUCUUCUUGGCAUCACAUUGAGUUAGAUGAAUCUCAUCUUUAAUUGCACAUUUAAUAGAAUCCUUUUCUUAUGUAUGGGAUUGGACAUAUGUGCCUUUGAUAUCAGCUGACUGUAAUGAAUUGUGUGUUAUGUGUAUAUGUAUUUAAGGUGUACAUUUAAUAAUAUCAAAGAGAAGGUGCCUGUUAAUUUAUAAUGUAUUUGAAGGUUGUAUGUUUUUGCAUUUGUAAAAAUGGGUCACUUGUUUAAAUAAUCUUUUAUGUCUUGUCAUACAUGUUUCAAAAGGUUUGCAUUCCUUUAUCUGUAAUUAUAGCCUCAAAAUCCAAGAAGUUCUGAAAACAAGGUUUUCAUAAGCUUGAUAACAAAUUCAUUUGCGUCUGGAUCUAUUCUGAUCUGAUACUGAAUCUGCUUAUCCCAUUUAGUGUGAAUAUUCCUUUAUUUUUCCGCAUAAAUAUUACUGUGUUUUUUUUAAUUGGGGUGUGUUGCCACAGACUCUUAUAAGGGUUAAUGUAGUAUGGUGUAUGCAUAGAAUUACCUUUCUAAAAUCUGAAAAUUUCUCAUUCUGAAACAUCUAGACUCAGGGGUUUCAGAUAAAAGAUUGUGGAUCUCUGCCUUAUGUUAAAUAAUUUAGAAGGUGUUAUUUUGUUUUUAAAAAAUGUGAAAUGCUUUUAUAUUCUAGUUUUACACUUUGCAUAUUAAAUGAUUUUUAAACUA